UUUUUUUUUUUAGUUUGAGCCCAUGACCAAAGAACCGGCUGUGAGGAGGAGGUCCAGGAAUGCUGCCAACCAAGGGGGGGGAAAAGGAAGCAGAAGAGAACCUGUGGACCACGACAGCCAGAACAAGUCAGACGAGGUUUAAUGAAGUUGUUCCACUCCUGAUGAUGGGACCUUUGAAUCCUGUGAGCACACGUGCUUGACAGAAGCAGCGUUGUGAGUACGUGAUCCUGCCAUCUUUACCUUAAGUGUUAAAGCUAAGAAUUGCUGUUGUAAUUUGACUUUUUAUUUUUUUUUUGUUUUUUUUUUAUUUUUUUUAAUGUGUGUCUUUGGACUUUGAUUGAAUGCAUGUUGUGUUUUGCUAUUAAAAGAAUCAAAAGUUGUUGUGCUGCUGUUUAUUGUGCAAGUGUUCUGGUUGGGUUUUUUAACUUACUACUUUUUAACUAAAACUUAACUUAAAAAACUUAACUAAAAACU
Molecule: long non-coding RNA, 474 nt
Organism: Cynoglossus semilaevis (tongue sole)
Lineage: Eukaryota; Metazoa; Chordata; Actinopteri; Pleuronectiformes; Cynoglossidae
Exons: 2
Source: RefSeq, a predicted model, not a curated record